AACGAACGCUGGCGGCAGGCCUAACACAUGCAAGUCGAGCGGACCUUUCGGGGUCAGCGGCGGACGGGUGAGUAACGCGUGGGAAUAUGCCCUUCUCUACGGAAUAGUCCUGGGAAACUGGGGGUCAUACCGUAUACGCCCUUUGGGGGAAAGAUUUAUCGGGGAAGGAUUAGCCCGCGUUGGAUUAGGUAGUUGGUGGGGUAAUGGCCUACCAAGCCGACGAUCCAUAGCUGGUUUGAGAGGAUGAUCAGCCACACUGGGACUGAGACACGGCCCAGACUCCUACGGGAGGCAGCAGUGGGGAAUCUUAGACAAUGGGGGCAACCCUGAUCUAGCCAUGCCGCGUGAGUGAUGAAGGCCUUAGGGUUGUAAAGCUGUUUCAGCUGGGAAGAUAAUGACGGUACCAGCAGAAGAAGCACCGGCUAACUCCGUG
RNAcentral lists this ribosomal RNA (433 nucleotides) under uncultured bacterium. RNAcentral's name for it is "partial 16S ribosomal RNA". It matches the Rfam family "Bacterial small subunit ribosomal RNA", at positions 29 to 507 of the family's 1533-position model. The record is from RNAcentral.